RNAcentral lists this ribosomal RNA (495 nucleotides) under uncultured bacterium. RNAcentral describes it as "partial 16S ribosomal RNA". It matches the Rfam family "Bacterial small subunit ribosomal RNA", at positions 28 to 507 of the family's 1533-position model. The record is from RNAcentral.
GACGAACGCUGGCGGCGUGCCUAAUACAUGCAAGUAGAACGCUGAAGGAGGAGCUUGCUUCUCUGGAUGAGUUGCGAACGGGUGAGUAACGCGUAGGUAACCUGCCUGGUAGCGGGGGAUAACUAUUGGAAACGAUAGCUAAUACCGCAUAAGAGUAGAUGUCGCAUGACAUUUGCUUAAAAGGUGCAAUUGCAUCACUACCAGAUGGACCUGCGUUGUAUUAGCUAGUUGGUGAGGUAACGGCUCACCAAGGCAACGAUACAUAGCCGCCCUGGGAGGGUGAUCGGCCACACUGGGACUGAGACACGGCCCAGGCUCCUACGGGAAGCAGCAGUAGGGAAUCUUCGGCAAUGGACGGAAGUCUGACCGAAGAAAGGCGCGUGAGUGAAGGAGGGUUUCGGAUCGGAAAGCUCUGUUGUAAGGGAAGAACGAGUGUGAGAGGGGAAAGUUCACACUGUGACGGUAUCUUACCAGAAAGGGACGGCUAACUACGUG